Molecule: ribosomal RNA, 827 nt
Filed under: Candidatus Saccharimonadota bacterium
Lineage: Bacteria; Candidatus Saccharimonadota
Description: partial 23S ribosomal RNA
Rfam family: Bacterial large subunit ribosomal RNA
Source: RNAcentral
UAAAAAGUUACUCAAGCGCGCACAAAGGAUGCCUUGACAUGUAAUACCGAAGAAGGACGUGAUGAGCUGCGAAAAGCUCCGGGGAACAGCCUAAUAUGUUUUGAUCCGGAGAUGUCCGAAUGGGGAAACCCGGUUGGAGUAAUGUCCAAUCACCGCUAUCUGAAUAUAUAGGAUAGUGCGUAGGUAACCGCCUGAACUGAAACAUCUUAGUAGGGCGAGGAAGAGAAAGUAAACAACGAUUCCGGUAGUAGUGGCGAGCGAAUCCGGAACAGCCCAAACCUUAUUUGCUUUAGGUAUAGGAUAAAACUUAUGGUCCCGCGGAUGGGAAUAGGUGGAUCGAGCAGAAAAUGCUCAGGUCGGUCCGGGACGAGACAGUAGGUUUUGUCUUAUAUCUAAUAAGUUGGUAGACGAAUGUAAAUACGGGGUUGUGACAUUGCAAACAUCCUUGUGUGGGAGUCCGCUUUGCGGGAGUCCACACGAGGCAGCUAGAUCUACCAGUGUCUAGCAUAAGGUCAGAAAUUGAUGAGGCGAGCAGAAGCAGUUGGAAAGCUGCGCCAUAGACGGUGAUAGCCCGGUACGCCAAGUUUCAUCAACCUUAUAUUUGCAAAGAGUUUACUGUGAAGCUUACGAAAUUUAUUUCAUAAGCUUAGAGUAAAUUCGGUUGUCGAGUAAGUCGGGACACGUGAAACCCUGACUGAAUCUGGGGGGUCCACCCUCCAAGGCUAAAUAUAUUACAUGAUCGAUAGAGAACAAGUACCGUGAGGGAAAGGUUAAAAGAACCCCGGAAGGGGAGUGAAAUAGAACCUGAAAUUGUGUGCGUACAAGGA